Molecule: long non-coding RNA, 3269 nt
Organism: Numida meleagris (helmeted guineafowl)
Lineage: Eukaryota; Metazoa; Chordata; Aves; Galliformes; Numididae
Exons: 10
Source: RefSeq, a predicted model, not a curated record
CAUGUGAUGAUUGUUUCAUGUACAAAUACAGAACAAAAUGACCUUGAUUUACCUGGAUACUAAUAAAAGGAGCUAUCUGAAUGUAAGACAUUUAUAUUCCACAGAAAACUGUGGCACUACUUACACAACUUAUUUACUGAAUGUGGAUGGUUAGAAACUGCCUCUGGGGGUUUGUGGAAAAAAGGAGACAAUUCCUGACAACCACUUAAAGUAACAUUUUGAAGCCUGUAAGACAGAAGCUUUGCUGCUGUCUUGUUGUUUUCCUAAGAACACAUCAGAUUGCCUAGAAUGGAUAUGAAUAAUUGAAGGACAUCCUAAUAGCAGUGAUCCUCCCAAGGGGCUUUUCCAACACCUUAUUAUUAGCUGAUAUGCUGCCUGAGCCACCUCAUGGGAACUCAGACUGUGAUCCCAUACUAUAUCGAAACGAAAGAGGCAAGCAUGGCAGGUAAUCUAAGCAGAGCAUAGUGGAAAAGUUUUUAGCAAAAUGAAAACUCCUUUAGAUAUUGGCAAAUGCAGUUUACAAAGCGUGAAAGAAGAAAUACUACGCUUACAGCGGGAUUUCAUGAUAUAAUCCCUGCUUAUUAUAGAGUAUCUCAGCCUGUCCUUCAAGGAGAGUAUCCUGUUGAAUGGCUGUCAAAGGACAAAACAAGAACCAACAGAUCUGAGCUGCAGAGAUUUACAUGUGAUCUGAUGGUGUGAUCUACGUCAGUUUAGCUGAAUUGUGCAAGCUCCCCAGUGGAAAUUUAAACAGGGAAGUAUGUGUCAACAGACCAGAAUUAAAAAGGUGACAAACUGUGAAGAAUUAAAACUUCUAAUUUAACAGAUGAGCAACUGCAAAUAACAGAAUCUCAGACAAACACUAUUUUAAUGAAAGGUGACAUGCCAGAGAUAAGAGGGUUUUUUUCCUCUCUCUUCAGCAGAUGCUUCUUCGAAUCUGCCUGUGGAUGUGUUCAGCAGUUUCCUUUCCAGAAUAUUUCUUCUCUAGUCAAUCCUGUAGAUCUUUUCAAGGGCUAACUCAUUUCUGCAGUUGGAUUGCUCUGGCAGACACACUUUGUGGCAUCACAAAGAGGACACCCUGCCGUGUAGCUCUGUCCUACCAUCCUACCUCUGAGGCCACUCAGAAUGUUAUGGAGAGACCAGGACUCGAGAAGACAGGACCAUGCUAAUGUAGAGCUGGAAAAUACUUGGCACUACGCAGAGCAUGAAAGUGAGCUCCCGCCUCACCAGCAGAAGCCAGUCACUCCAGCAUGCGUAGAGUGGUGUACCACUGCUGCCUCAACUGCCCAUCCUUCUGCCAAUGGCUGGAUGACUCAACUCCCAGAAUCUUCUCAAAAAUGUGAGAAAAAUCAUGUGUUUUGAUACUUCCAAGGCUAAAAAGGCAAAGAAAUGUCCUAUUGACCUGCAGCUCAACCACAUACCCUGGUUAGAUCUAUGUCAGCCUCAAACUCUGUUGGUGUAUGUCCAUCUGCCUUCCCAGAAGCUCAGUGGCUCGCUCUUGGAACCAGAAAACAAGAAUGCCAUGCUGAGGUAUGCUGCAUGUUAGACUACAAGUCAGGGCACUGAUAAGUGCCCUGUGUUUUAUAGAGUAGGAUUCUUUAACAACUUUCUGUACGCUGGUAAAGCUUCUCCACACCCCCUUACACCAUCAUCUGUGGCAUGCCGUCACUCAUUUGCAUUUGACUUCAAAUCUCUGCCAGUGAUUUGCGGAGCAUUAGCACUGUUGGGUGCAUGGCCCCACUAAAGGCCUGGAAGAUCACCUGGACAAUUCUGUGAUGGACCAGUACACAAGUGCCAGCCAAAGGGCCUGAUUCCUAACCAACGGAUAAAAAAUAAGGUAUCAGCAAGUAAGUAAGUAGUUACAAAUUCAUGUCUUGAAUGAAAGACAUGACUGGCUGGAGGAGAGGGGAGAUUAUUUCUCCUUUGCUGACGUGUGUGUUUCUUGCUGGAAGAGAGCAUUGCUGGGGGUGUUGGUCUGAUUGUGCUGAGUCAGCAAACCUUUUAUUUGCAUUUUAAAGCAUGAUUAGCUAAGUGGUUCUCACAGGAGCACUUUUGGCACUGUAUUGGGCUGGCAAGAAGCCUGGUGUGCACUCUUGCUGAGGUUCCCAUAACUGUAUUAUAGGACUGCUUUCUGUUUCUUGGUGCAUGUUUCAUGUGGAGUUCUUCUGCCUCACUUCAGUAUAUCAGAUCUCAUGGGCUGAUAAGGAUUGGGAAGAAGCUGAAAAUAAGUGAUGUCAAGAGAUAGUACCCCUUCUGGUUGGCUGUGUUUCAAUGUAUAAAUCAUUUACUAUUUUUCUAAAUUUGUAUGAUAUAAAUAAUAAAUAUAAGUAGGUAUUAAAGGCAGGAGUGAGAGGGGAAAAACUGACAGUUCUCUGGUUUACCUCAAACCAGAAAUCACUGGCCUUUUUGAGUCAAUCUAGAAAUGGCUCCAUUAAAUGAAUAAUCACAAUUUUCAUAGGAAAAAUGAAAACAGUACCUUUUAUCUCCUUUUUUUAUUUCAGAAAUGGCAUUUAUAAUCAUUUCCUCUAAUACUAAUUAGUAGUAAUUAGAGAAGAAACGUGGUCUGGGAUCUUGCAAAAAGCCCUGGUUUAUUUGUAGUUAUUGUUAUAGUUUCACAUUUUCUUCCUUUGCCCCAUUGCUUUUGUGCUCAACCUCUUAGAGUAAAGUAGCCAUGUAAAAGGUAUCAGCAAUAAUUAGAUGAUCACUCCAAACCUUCUGUAACUGCAGAAUUUGGAGUCUUUUGUGCCAAAGGAAUGUUUUGAUGCAGAAAACAGAGCAAUACACUUUUUAGGCGCAGAGCCUGUUUGGAACUCUCAGGUGAACCGUUCUAUUCACUGUAAUGUGGCAAACGUGUAUAUUGUCUCCAAUACCUUAAGUGCAGUAGCUGCAAUCCACAUCUUUGUAAGGAUUUUGACAAACCACACAUUGAAGGGUUUCUGGGAUGUACAGGUGACUCAGGUUCACACAGUUUUAAGGCUAUGUUGCGUGCAUUUGCUAUACUAAAGAAAAAGCAUGCAGCAAGGCUAGGAAGGACCUUUUGCAUACAUUGGAAACUGCUUUGACGCAGGAGUAUGUAUGUUCUGACAUUUAACUGAGUUUAUUCAGAGAUUUAUCCUUUAAAUUUAAAUGUUAUUGAGCAGCAAAAGAGUGAAAGAAUCUCAGUCAAUGAUACUUCUGAUUUUCAGUAAGGUUUUACUUUCCUCCUGACAGAUGGGGAACUAUUAAUAUAACUUAUUUCUAAUUCUCAUGAUUGUUGCAAAGAUUGCUUUCCU